Molecule: transfer RNA, 74 nt
Filed under: Dehalococcoidia bacterium
Lineage: Bacteria; Bacillati; Chloroflexota; Dehalococcoidia
Description: tRNA-Glu
Rfam family: tRNA
About the family: Transfer RNA (tRNA) molecules are approximately 80 nucleotides in length. Their secondary structure includes four short double-helical elements and three loops (D, anti-codon, and T loops).
Source: RNAcentral
GCCCUCAUCGUCUAGAGGCCAAGGACGCCAGCCUUUCAAGCUGGAGAUCAGGGGUUCGAAUCCCCUUGGGGGCA